UCGUAACAAGGUCUCCGUUGGUGAACCAGCGGAGGGAUCAUUACAGAGUUGCAAAACUCCCACAAACCAUCGCGAAUCUUACCCGUACGGUUGCCUCGGCGCUGGCGGUCCUUCGGGACCCUCGGGCCUCCCGCUCGCGGGAGGCUGCCCGCCGGAGUGCCGAAACCAAACUCUUGAUAUUUUAUGUCUCUCUGAGUAAACUUUUAAAUAAGUCAAAACUUUCAACAACGGAUCUCUUGGUUCUGGCAUCGAUGAAGAACGCAGCGAAAUGCGAUAAGUAAUGUGAAUUGCAGAAUUCAGUGAAUCAUCGAAUCUUUGAACGCACAUUGCGCUCGCCAGUAUUCUGGCGAGCAUGCCUGUUCGAGCGUCAUUUCAACCAUCAAGCUCUGCUUGCGUUGGGGAUCCGCGGCUGCCCGCGGUCCCUCAAAAACAGUGGCGGGCUCGCUAGUCACACCGAGCGUAGUAACUCUACAUCGCUAUGGUCGUGCGGCGGGUUCUUGCCGUAAAACCCCCCAAUUUCUAAGGUUGACCUCGGAUCAGGUAGGAAUACCCGCUGAACCUAAGCAUAUCA
RNAcentral lists this unclassified non-coding RNA (571 nucleotides) under Neurospora calospora. RNAcentral's name for it is "sequence contains 18S rRNA gene, ITS1, 5.8S rRNA gene, ITS2, 28S rRNA gene". The stretch from base 217 to 370 matches the Rfam family "5.8S ribosomal RNA". Lineage: Eukaryota; Fungi; Ascomycota; Sordariomycetes; Sordariales; Sordariaceae. The record is from RNAcentral.